Molecule: ribosomal RNA, 357 nt
Filed under: Triticum aestivum (bread wheat)
Lineage: Eukaryota; Viridiplantae; Streptophyta; Magnoliopsida; Poales; Poaceae
Description: partial small subunit ribosomal RNA
Source: RNAcentral
AUGGCUCCAUGCUCGGAUCUGAAGCUGGAGAGGCUUGAGGAGCAUUUCUUCUUGGGAAACUGCCUUCGGCUGCUGUGCCUGAAGGUCUCAAAUCUUGCUUUUUGGACUAGGUGGAUAUUGUGGCUCACCAAAGCUUCAAUGCGAGGGGCUUCUCCAGUUUCGAGAUUUGAGGUCGCCGGCAUUCUACUCCUCCUCUGCUGGAGUAGCAGGUGGUGGACGUCGUCAACGUGCGGUGAUAUCCAUGAUGGAGAAGAAGACCUACGAUUUCUUUGCUUUCUUUUCUUAUUUUGGUCUUCUUUGCAAGCUGGCAGAGGCAGUUACUUCAUCUGUAUACCUUUAGUUUAUUUGUAUUUGUAA